Molecule: long non-coding RNA, 4045 nt
Organism: Carassius gibelio (silver crucian carp)
Lineage: Eukaryota; Metazoa; Chordata; Actinopteri; Cypriniformes; Cyprinidae
Exons: 3
Source: RefSeq, a predicted model, not a curated record
CUCAGUGUGGGUCUGAAGGUUGACGAUUGGUUGAGGGGAGAUGAAAGUCUGGAGGCUCGCGCUUCAGAGCCGUGUUGGUGUGUUUACACUCAGUACUCGAGACACAGACGAGCGGCAGCGUCAGGACUAUGGCGCUCCACAGAUAACAGUGGAGAUCUCACAACUAUGGCAUUAUAUUUAACGCUUACGGACAACUUUUUCUUCUCGUCUCAACAGGAAUAAAGCUGUCAAGUACUUUUGUUUUCCAUUUGUUCGCUGAAAUUGUAGCAGUUUUCAAACAGUGCCAGAGAAAACCCGUUCGCUGGUUCAGUGGAGUUGUGAAUGAGAUGAACUUUACGCAGGUUGUUGGCUAUUUUAUGUUUCACCACGGACGGGGCUGCAAUUUUGUGAAGUUUUAGGAGGAACCCGCCUCCACUUUUCCCACUAUUUGAAGUAUCCUUCGCAGAGGAUUCGGCGAGAUUCAUACAUCCGACUGGAGCGAGAGCACCUGGGGGCGUUUGGCAGUAGCGUGACCGGGUGAAGAUGCUCUCAGCGUGGAUACACCGCGAUCAUUCUCCCGCCUGCCUGCUCGGUUUAGCUCUACUCUGCACAGCCUUUGCGACCCAUGCAGAGCACCGAUGCUCCAGUGCCCUGGCUCAGUGGAAAUGAGUGGGAAAAGACACCGUGAAGGAGGGAAGAGCAGCUGAAGGAGACGAGAGAGAGGCAGGGGACGUCAUUACUUGUUAUCGUCAUAGCAGACACCAGGGCUCGUCAUGCUAGUCGCUGUGUCUCGGCAUCAGAAAAGAAAACAUCCAAGCCCAGAGCUCUGGACAUGUGACAGGACCAGUCUUUCUUUACCGCAGCUCCCAGUAACACACUGUCACUAUCUGUCCAUCACUGAAGUGCAGCUGUGAUUUCACACAACCUGCAUUUUACAGUGCAUCAAUCGGAAGGCUUUUUAUUUUUAUUUACACUGUCCAACAACAGUUUGUCUUAAGGCUGCAUGAUUAAUUGUAAUAAACCUGAAAUCACUUCAAAUUGCAAAGGCUGCAAUUUCAUUAAAUAUAUGCCCUGCAGGUUUCAGAGUGAAGUGCAGCACAGCAUUUACACACAUGCAGCUCAUGAUCCAGUGUUCCAUGAUCCUAGACUUCCUUGGUUCAGACAACCCAUGUGAUCUGACAAAUUUGAGAUUAAAGGGGGGGGGGGGGUGAAAUGCUAUUUCAUGCAUACUGAGUUUUUUACACUGUUAAAGAGUUGGAUUCCCAUGCUAAACAUGGACAAAGUUUCAAAAAUUAAGUUGUACGUUUGAAAGAAUAUUUUUGUUCCAAAAAUACUCCUUCCGGUUUGUCACAAGUUUCGGAAAGUUUUUCUGUGUGACGUUAGAUGGAGCGGAAUUUCCUUAUAUGGGUCCUAAGGGCACUUCUGCCGGAAGAGCGCGCGCUCCCGUAGAGCAGAGGAGCAGAGCAGAGACAUUCACUGAUCAGCGCGAGAGACCGAAUUGUCACAAAAGAAGUGUGUUUUUGGUUGCCAGGGCAAGACAACCCUGCACAGAUUACCAAAAAAACAGCAUUAAGGGACCAGUGGAUGGAGUUUAUUUUUACAGAGCAUCAACGGAGUUGUGCAAGUGUUUGGUUUGUUCCCUGCAUUUCGAAGAUGCUUGUUUUACAAACAAGGCCCAGUUUGACGCCUGAUUUGCACAUCGUUUAUUUCUUAAGGAUAAUGCAGCCCCAACGAAAAAGGGUCACGAUCGUGUGUUGGAACCGCAUGCCGUGAGUAAAUCUGCUUCAAAUAUCUCUGUGUUGUUAACAUAGCUAUCGGCGCGUAAGCACAUCAAGUAAACAACAUGCGAUGUUGUCAUCAAACUGCACUUUCCACAUGUACACCUAAAAAAAAAAAAAAAAAAAAAAAAAAAAAAAGACGACAUAAAGUGGAACUUAGUCAUUUUCCAAAACAGCUAAGCAAAUAUAUACAGUUUCAGUACAUACCAGAUAGAGACGUCCUUGCUGCUGCUGCUGCUGCUGCUCAUCUGGCUGUUUUUUUUUCCUCACGGUAAUGUCACAGCUUCCAAACGCUCUCAACGCAAAAGCCUACUGGCGCUCGUGAUUCUUUAGCUCCGCCCACACGUCACGCCUCCAGGCGCUCGUGUUUUUCCGGGAAAAAACGGUACAGACUAUCUUUCUCUUAUAAAUAUAAUAAAACUAAAGACUUUUUGGAGUUAUGGAGGAUGCAGUACUACUCUAUAGGUACUCAAGAUUAACAGGAUAUUGAGUGAAAACGAGCACCCCCCCCCCCCCCUUUAAUCUAUUCACUCCCUGUGUACAUUUUAAAUCUGAAUCUUGAAUUUCAACUACACUUGUUACAAUCUGGUGAUGCCAAAACAUGUUCACACACACACUCACUCAUGUCUGCAAAUAGCGAAUAUGCCGUCAGCAUGUCAGUCACUGUUUUUGAAUAAUUUAAAUCAGAGUGCUGAGUCACUAGACUGGGAAAACAACCAGUAAUGUAAGUGAGAGGCAUUAUAGCCUGUAAGAGCUUUUUUACUUUUAUUUUAAUGGAGAUUGAGGACAGGAAUGCUGUGCUGUCUACCUUCUAGGUGAGUGCAGGAGAAAAUGAAAGGUUAUGAGGGGGUUGAGGGUGAGAGGUUAAAUAAGUUAAAUCCACAAGAUGGCAUUGGCGGAGGUAAAAUAAAUCAGUAGAUAAGCGCAAAAAGCAAUGUAGAUAAAGGAUGUAAACAGCAUUAAGCUUCGCUAAUCUGAACACAAGACACAUUCACUUAACUAAAGCCAAUGUAGGGUCAGGAGAUUGAUGAAGUGCUCCAAUAUUGCUUCUUUCUCGCACACUCUCUAUUUGUUUUAUCUAUCUUUCAUCUUCUUUGGGUAAACUUUGGGCUUGUCUGUUAAUUUCACUCUCCGGCUCCAACUAUCUUUCUAUGUAUCUUUCCAUCUUAACUGUGUGUGUGUAGUGUUUCAGCAAGGAGCGCCAUUGGUGCUCUUCAUACCUGUUCUUGCCUGAGUGAGCACCAGGGGAACACUCUGAUGCAAGGAGACGCAAUGACAGAGCUAAGUGACGUCAAUCCCCCUGCUUGCACGCUCGUCCGGGUGUGUAUGUGUGAACUUCUAUGUGUGUCUGGCUGUUUACAGCCAAUAUAUCACAUCCCAUCCAUUCACGGGCAUCAGUGAUCAUGCCAGUCUUUCAGAAUCGGUUAUGUACGUGGGAUACGGGAAUGAUACAGCAUUGUGUCGGCUCGUCAGCGAGCUUCAGUGGGUUGUCUUUUCUUACAGCUGUGCAUCUGUGCAUACAUUGACAUGUAAGCAUGCAAGUCCAUUGCAAUGUGUCAACUGGUUGCCGGUUUUUCACAUCUCCACAUGUCUUCAUUAACAUGACGGGGGUGCAGCAUUGCUAAAGCAUUUGUCAAGAGAUGCCGAGCUGUCACAACAAAUUUCAUAAGGACAGCUCAGCACAGGAUACAACAACGGCCCAAUACACCCCUGGCUGCUUAAACUCAUCCAGGGAAUUGCAUUAAUACAUUGUCUCUUUAUUUUCCUCUUGCUUUCUUAUUCUGUCUCGACAGUUGCUUAAUCUUUCCUUGCUCCAGUCUUUCCCAUGGUUACUUAGACACGUAUUCGUUCCCUCCCUCUUCCUUGUUCUGUCCUCCUCCUCUUCAACAGAUUGCCUUAUUCUGUCUCCACUGUUCUCCUUUCUCCUUAGUUACUUGAACAGUCAACCUCUUUAUCAGUCUGGUCUCCAAACUAUGUUGUUUCAUUACAGGACUCCAACUUUCUUUUCUUUUUUGUUGAAGUAAGAAUUUUAGGAUUAGCCGCUGUACCAUCCUCAUGUUCUCAAGUGAUUUCUAGGGUUGCUGGGUAAAUUUCCCUUUCCUCCAUCUCAUGUUCUUUUCUGUCAGUCUAUUCUCUGUAUCUUUUUAGCAUCUUUCUCUUGAGUCCUGAUGUAAGUUUGCUGGCAGGUUCAUCUAGUUAUAUCCCUCUUUAGAGAACCCAGCACCAAUACAGCCUCACUAGCAUACUAGCUGCGUUUACGUGGACCCUACUAAUCCGAUCGUACUAGG